Long non-coding RNA from Pan troglodytes (chimpanzee), 4797 nucleotides. RefSeq lists it as uncharacterized. The record is from RefSeq and is a predicted model, not a curated record. The transcript has 3 exons. Lineage: Eukaryota; Metazoa; Chordata; Mammalia; Primates; Hominidae.
GCUUUAGGGGCUGCUUUCUGGCUUUAAAAAUAUUGCACUGGAAUAGAACCAAGGAUCAAAUAUCUGGGACAUGAUAUCUUGAGUAAAACAGGAAAUGUCUGCUACAGAGACAAACUGAAGUUUGUGUAUAUCGUGCUGAUUCAGAAGAGAAUGAAGGCAUUUGUCAAGAGAUAAUGUCAGACUAAUCAGACAUGUUCCAAUCGAUUAAUGCAUUUGGAGGAUUUCCAAAUAUUUGCUGAUCUAAGGAAGGUAUAUGAUGGGAAACAAAUCUGAGAAAAGAAGGAUGGUAGAUGCUUUCCCAUUUUGACCUGUGAUCAUUUUGGUAAGAACAUUUUACUCAAUUAAGAGGUGAUCAAGUGAUUCCAGGCCUGCUGCUAAAUAAUUCUGAGAUGAUAUUUGGAAAUAUGUAUUUCUCCUUUACCUCCUGAAGCCACAGGUAUGUGCCUGAGGUUCUCAACAAAUGGCUGAUUAUCUCUCAGAAUAUUCAGUUGUCUGGUAGCUGGCACUAAUAGCUCGGAAUAAGCCAUGUUUAACUUCAGGAUCCAUCUGGACUCUUGGCCACUAGUGGUAGGUAAUACUAGUUGCAGAAUUCAGUUUCUCUGAGCCUGUGAAAACUGCCUGAUUUUAUUUCAAAUUCAUUUUGCAUCCUGUGGGAUGGAUUUGAGAUCAGAGCAAAAUAUUCAACCUUAUUUUUGUUAAUCUUGCCCCAAAUAUGAUCCAGAUUAACCUUUCUUAACACAAAUUUGCAUUUUUUACAAAUAUCAUUUUUAAUGAAAUUAAAAUCUAUGAUUAUUAACGUUAAUAUUGUGCAAGUAGCAUUUGUAAUAUAAAGGUUUCAAAAAAGGAAUAUAAUUUUAUUUACUGGAGACUUAUUUUGCCAUUUUCAACUUGGAAGCCCAGGACUCAAACAAAAGUAUUGUUUGAAAACUGUUGGGGUUGAUUAUUACUUAUGCUGGAAGUUUCAAAAAAAAAUUUUAGAAAAAAAGAAAGCUGUUUUGUUCUAAUAAUUUGAAAUUUUAACAGUUAAAUUAUUGCUAAAUUUGCAUAAGAUUUGCUCUGUAAGACAGUACUUUUUAUAAUUGCUAACAUGUGGUUGUUUUACUUAUUUGUGCAUACUAGGUUAAUAUAUACAUAGUCAUAUUAAUAUAUGUUUGUAUGUAUACAUACUUAAAUAUAAAUUUUAUUUUUUAAAUGCAUGAUUUAAGAUUUUGUCAUAAAUUGUUAUAAAUUGUUUUGUGGAGUUUAUGCAUUUUGUAAAUUUGAUGGUGGCAGAUGGUGUACGUGUGAGUUAAUUGAAUAGAUCUUUCAUAGUCUGGCACUUUUUAUGCUUUUAGAAUUUGGAGAAGUUAGUCUUUACUGAUGAAUAGAGAGCUAUUGUACUUUAGAAACUAUUGAGCAAACAUAAAAUUUUAAGAACAACUUAUUUUUAUCCUAUGGAUUUUCCUAUUAUAUUUAAAUUUGCUCUUUUAGUUUGUUUUUAGAGCUCCCCUCAAGAAACAUACUCUUUGUUUUUAACGCUCAAUCCUUUUUUAUUCUUUGUAGAAACUAGUGGUCUCCUAUUAAGUAAAUAGAUGUGGGUCUCAUUAGAGGGAUCCAUUCUAAAACAGAAGAGGACAACACUCAGGGAGGGCUGCAAUGAGACAGAGAAUCCUGAGAUUGUUCCUCAUGUGCAGAUCUUCACCUGGGGCUGCAGAAGACUGUACAGCUAUAGACAAAAUAAAGAUAAGGUACAGAUGUCAUGGAAAGCCAGAACAUAGGAGUGAAUCCAUCCUACAGUCUGAAGGCAGAAACAAGGCCAUAAAUGGGGUUGGGGGAGAAACCCUAUGGUAAGAAUCUGUAGAGAUGAAGAAAAAAUUGUAGGAUUUAAGGUAGGUUAGGAACUGGCAGUUCAGAGCAAUGCCAGGGUAUUAGAAACUCACUCUAGUGUCAUCUAAGUUUCCCAAUAUAGGAUUGAGUGGACCUCAUCAUAUUAGCCACAUUCAAGGAAUAUAUGUAUGUUAUAGAAGUCGAUGGUUACAUUAAAAUAUUAAGUUUGAACACAAGUUCUAAUUUAUUUUUAUCAUUAUUUCUUAAUAGCAAUUAAUUCUUUGGGGCUUCAAUUACUGACUGUAUUCCAAACGGUUACCAACAGUUCACUUCCUUAAUUGCAGAACUUAUACCAUUUCCAAAUAACCAAUGUAAAUUUUUACCUCGGAUAUUAUUUUGUUACCCGCAAACAACAAAUGUGAAUUUAGAUUUAUCAUCUUCCUCUGGGACUGAAUUUCCCCUGUAAUAUUGUUUUUUGUUGAUUUGUUUGUUUUGUAGUGGCAUCCCCAGCCCCUAUGUACCUAUGUUUGAUUUAUCUUUUAUUUCCUUCUUUUAUACUUAAACCUUAAGGUGGGUUGGAAAGUUGAUAUCAGUGACACAAAGUUUAGUUGAUUGGGUACUUUACAUUUCUACUUGACUUUGUACAUUUCUGAUUUAUAUGAACAACAAGCAACUCAGACUAAGCCUCCUUCAUUGCCCUAAGAGGUCUAUUAUAUUUCUAGUGAUUUUACCUAGGGGAUCUAUACAUGUACUAACAGUAGAAAUUAGAGGUGCAACACUACUGGCCAGAAUAUAGCAACAUCCUAAGUACAUUAAUAAUGUGUAAAGUGCCCAGCAUGUAAGGCACAAAUAAAAAUAGGGAAUGUCAUUUUAUUAAAUUAUCAGAAGUUAUGGGUCACAUUCAAACAGAAAUAUUCUAAGAAAUUCAAUUCUAAGAAAUUCAACUUACUUUUAAUGUCAAUGUUUCUGAAAUUGGUAAACAUCAUUGACGUCAAAAAGCCUUCUAUGCAUGAAAUAAAUUAUACUUGUCAUUUCUGAGCUUAUAGUAACAUGGUCAAGAAUUAAAGGUAUAUUCAUCUGACUUCUGGUUUAUCAGGCUGCUAUUUGAGAAGGGUUAUUUGCCUUAGUACCAUCAGCAGUGGUUGAAUUUUAUAUUUGGAUCUGCAUUUGUCAUUUAAAAUGUCCACAAAAAGAUAACCCCCUUAAGGAGCAUUAGAACUAGAAGUUACUGUGAACCUAGAUGAUCGCCUGUUUUUUGCCAUCUAGCAUAAUGAAGGUCGUAGUAUUGCCAAAGUUUUUGGAAUUCACUGUAGAUUUUUCAAAACUAGAUAAAAACUCUGACCAAUUUUUGAGUCCUGGGGGACUAUCACUUCAGCCAUAAACACAAACAAGUUAACUAGAAUUUAAUGAAAUAGUAAAUGGAGAAAAAAACUCUAGAAUUAUCCGAUUUGUUUCUAAAUUAUACUGUUGCUCCUAAAAAUGUUAAGAAAUUAGGAUCGUGAGCACUGUUAGUCACUAUGAUGAUAUGCUUACCCACUGAUGGUCAAAAUUUAUCAGAAGAAUUUUUAGACUUGGACUGUGUCAUGGCUUAGAUGCUGAUACUGAUGAAUAAAGUGACAUGCAAUUUUAUGGAUAAAUGAAUGUUACUGUUAAGUAGUUUUUAAAUAUGUACAUUUUAAUAUAAUGUAUUUCCUCAAAAUGCUAUUCUUAAUUUGAUGAUAUGCCUUGAAAAUCAAUACUGUUUUAGGAUGAAGGAAAUGUGGUAAAUUAAUGGUGUCAUUAGAAGAAUGGAGUUUGCCAUAGAACCUCAUUUGCUUUACUCUUAGGAUAUAACUUUUAAAUUUAUUCUUAUUUGAAUUUUCUUAUCUUCCAUACUGAACAGGAAGCUUAUUGAAUGAACAAACCAUGAGUACAAUUAGCAUAUACCUAAAUUGAUUUGCAAUGAAAAGGUGCUUCAUAAAUUCUUGUUUGCCUGAAGAAAUUAGGAGGCAAAGGAGCGUCAAAACAAAGGAGAAAAUAAGAAUUAAAGUGAGAUGCUAUAUCAGAGGCCACAGAAAGAUGCUGGUCUGCCUAAUCUGACUUUCUGACACUGAGAGGCAAACCUCCAAAAUUUCCACCUAUCUAUAUAUAUUCAUUCACUCACUCACCCAGUGUGUAUACAUUAGGAAGUCAUUGCUUUGUAUUAACCCUUGGUUUUGAAAAAGAAUGCAAAAUUAAAUGAAGAAUAAUCUCUGUUUAAAAGGGAGGGUUUGUUUGACAGGCAUAUGUAUAAACACUGGAAAUUAUGAGAGUAAAGAGGGUUUCCAAUUUUCCACAUACAGAAAGAGUACUAAAAAAUGCUGGUGUGUUCAGAGUAAUGGCAAACUUAAUUUAAUUUCAUGCCUUCAAGCAAUAUUAUUUAUUGAGAAUUUUAACACAAAGCAAUCUUUUGUAUAUCACGGAUACCCAGAAAGAAUAAAUAUUGUGGUACUAAUUCCUACACUUUGAUUUAUUAGUCUUUAGUUUAUUUGAAUGUCAUGUCACAGAGUACAGCUAAUAAAAGUAUGAACAUUUGUCUUUGAGCAAGUUUGAUCUGAGGUGAGUAACAUUAAACAAUAGCCUAUUGACAAACAAUUAAACACCACUUCUUUUCUUAGGAGUGUUUUGAAUUACACUUGUUCUAACUAGUGGCAGCAUCUUUUGUGUUUAGAAUUCCAAUAUAAUCUUAGAUGAGAAGAAUCUUUUAAUUAUAUUUUCAAUAGAAUUGGCCAAGACCCACUGCUCACCAUCUUGACUCUUUGUCUUCAUUGAUUUGGACCAAAACAAAACAAAGAUAAAUAGCAAAAUUCAUUAUCAAUGUUUAUUUCAACUGUCUAUUGUCAUUUCCUCAGGGUAUACAACACAGUUUUCCGCAGACAGAAUGCUGUGUUUCUUACUUUUAGCUUUAGAGCUAUCUAUUCAACAAUUCUGUGUCAUGGAAGAACCUAGCUGAGGCAAAAAAAAAAAAAAAAA